AAAUUGAAGAGUUUGAUCAUGGCUCAGAUUGAACGCUGGCGGCAGGCCUAACACAUGCAAGUCGAACGGUAGCACAGAGAGCUUGCUCUUCGGGUGACGAGUGGCGGACGGGUGAGUAAUGUCUGGGAAACUGCCUGAUGGAGGGGGAUAACUACUGGAAACGGUAGCUAAUACCGCAUAACGUCGCAAGACCAAAGAGGGGGACCUUCGGGCCUCUUGCCAUCAGAUGUGCCCAGAUGGGAUUAGCUAGUAGGUGGGGUAACGGCUCACCUAGGCGACGAUCCCUAGCUGGUCUGAGAGGAUGACCAGCCACACUGGAACUGAGACACGGUCCAGACUCCUACGGGAGGCAGCAGUGGGGAAUAUUGCACAAUGGGCGCAAGCCUGAUGCAGCCAUGCCGCGUGUAUGAAGAAGGCCUUCGGGUUGUAAAGUACUUUCAGCGAGGAGGAAGGCGGUGAGGUUAAUAACCUCAUCGAUUGACGUUACUCGCAGAAGAAGCACCGGCUAACUCCGUGCCAGCAGCCGCGGUAAUACGGAGGGUGCAAGCGUUAAUCGGAAUUACUGGGCGUAAAGCGCACGCAGGCGGUCUGUCAAGUCGGAUGUGAAAUCCCCGGGCUCAACCUGGGAACUGCAUUCGAAACUGGCAGGCUAGAGUCUUGUAGAGGGGGGUAGAAUUCCAGGUGUAGCGGUGAAAUGCGUAGAGAUCUGGAGGAAUACCGGUGGCGAAGGCGGCCCCCUGGACAAAGACUGACGCUCAGGUGCGAAAGCGUGGGGAGCAAACAGGAUUAGAUACCCUGGUAGUCCACGCCGUAAACGAUGUCGACUUGGAGGUUGUGCCCUUGAGGCGUGGCUUCCGGAGCUAACGCGUUAAGUCGACCGCCUGGGGAGUACGGCCGCAAGGUUAAAACUCAAAUGAAUUGACGGGGGCCCGCACAAGCGGUGGAGCAUGUGGUUUAAUUCGAUGCAACGCGAAGAACCUUACCUACUCUUGACAUCCAGAGAACUUUCCAGAGAUGGAUUGGUGCCUUCGGGAACUCUGAGACAGGUGCUGCAUGGCUGUCGUCAGCUCGUGUUGUGAAAUGUUGGGUUAAGUCCCGCAACGAGCGCAACCCUUAUCCUUUGUUGCCAGCGGUCCGGCCGGGAACUCAAAGGAGACUGCCAGUGAUAAACUGGAGGAAGGUGGGGAUGACGUCAAGUCAUCAUGGCCCUUACGAGUAGGGCUACACACGUGCUACAAUGGCGCAUACAAAGAGAAGCGACCUCGCGAGAGCAAGCGGACCUCAUAAAGUGCGUCGUAGUCCGGAUUGGAGUCUGCAACUCGACUCCAUGAAGUCGGAAUCGCUAGUAAUCGUAGAUCAGAAUGCUACGGUGAAUACGUUCCCGGGCCUUGUACACACCGCCCGUCACACCAUGGGAGUGGGUUGCAAAAGAAGUAGGUAGCUUAACCUUCGGGAGGGCGCUUACCACUUUGUGAUUCAUGACUGGGGUGAAGUCGUAACAAGGUAACCGUAGGGGAACCUGCGGUUGGAUCACCUCCUUACCUUAAAGAA
Molecule: ribosomal RNA, 1551 nt
Filed under: Leclercia adecarboxylata
Lineage: Bacteria; Pseudomonadati; Pseudomonadota; Gammaproteobacteria; Enterobacterales; Enterobacteriaceae
Description: bacterial SSU rRNA
Rfam family: Bacterial small subunit ribosomal RNA
Source: RNAcentral